CUUCCAAUUGCACUCAAGGACGGGAGGGCUGGCUGGAGAACUGGCUCCGGCGUGAAGAGCAAAUUUUGCCACAGCCCCUUACGGAUAGACCCCCACAAGUGUGCUAAGGUCUCCAUGGCCUCGCAUCCUCAGCAUCCAAGGGGAUAUCAUCCUUUGAAGAUAGCGAUGGCCACUGUCAUCAGAAGAACUUGGAGUCCUCCUUAGGCACACAGGAUAAAUGAGAUGAAGUAGAGACAGGGAUGUUUUUAACAUUUCAAUGUGAACGAUCUCAGUAAUCUCCAUAUUCGCAACCAAUCGGCAAUAAAGAAUCAGUCCACAGCAGCAAUAGCAAGUAUGAUCGCGGUGGAUAUUACUUUGCAAAUUAUUAUAAGAGCAUAAAAGAACGAAGUGCGUGAGAACAGGGGGUUAAUGGGAAACCCCGAAAUGGACUUGAAAUAAUAAGCUCGUUUUCUCAGAGCCAUUUAGCCAACCCCUGGGAGAAAAUCAUUCCUGUUAUACGAGUUUGUUUAUGAGAUUCGAUGAGAAGCUGACCUAGUGAGCGGGUGUUCGUGGCGGCGGAACCACAAGAAAGCACAAAUCUGCGGUCAAAAGGUCGAGUCCCCAAGGCCCAGGGACUAUUGCUUUUAAUUUCUAAUAACAACGAGUUUCUACAGCAGAUCCCUACUUACGGCUCCCCCGAAACUCUCACGCUUAUUCCGUCAGAAGACCGAGUAGCCGGCAGACCACGCUCCCCAUGUCACUCCCCCUUCAGUGACUCGACAGUGCCGUCAGCGCCUUAACUCCUCACGGUGAAUCUGUAGCAGGCAUUUUCUUUCUGAAUUCCGACCGUCACUUCGGUGAGAGAACCGAAUCGAUAGCGCUCCUGCACGCAAGGUUUAUCACCGUGAAUGCCAGGCUCAACAGAUACAGUUCACUUUCACUCGCUACCCUGGGAUCAGCCGGAUGCCAGGGGUUUGACAUAUGGAGGCUCCUCAGGGCUGUGCUGACAAAUCUUGACAUCGGAGCUCUGCCCUUUCUUACAAAGCUUGCGAAGGUGAAUGGUGUGCUGUUGUCGCAACAGGGAGGGCAAGUUUCUUCCUUCUGGUGACGACGUCAUUCUAUUUCCUGUGGGAGAAGCAGACUUCUCUCUGGGGUUAAAGGUUGGAGAUUUUAGUUGGUCCACACCUGUUAAGUGUGAGGAGCAUGGUCUUUGCCAGGUGGAAUUAGUUGAAUUCUGAGGACUUUGAGGGGUAUAAACAUGACAGACCAGCGGAAGAAGGAGCAGCUGCUCGGAGGAGGACCGCUUGCUGCUGGUUUGUCCUGCUGCUGCAUUUGCUGUUUGCUGAUUUGCUGAUUACGUGGACUUCUGGAUUUCUGGACUCCUGAUACUGGUAUUUCCCCCCAAAGAAUCCUAAGACUCUACCCAGAGGGAAGUAGCAGAGAGAACUCCACCCCCUGCCCCACUAAUCUU
Long non-coding RNA from Meriones unguiculatus (Mongolian gerbil), 1450 nucleotides. RefSeq lists it as uncharacterized. The transcript is spliced from 3 exons. NCBI's taxonomy places the organism in Eukaryota, Metazoa, Chordata, Mammalia, Rodentia, Muridae. The record is from RefSeq and is a predicted model, not a curated record.